GACUACCGGGGUAUCUAAUCCUGUUUGAUACCCACACCUUCGCAGUUUAGCGUCAAUAACGGCUUAGAAGACUGCCUUCGCCUUCGGUAUUCCUCCUGAUAUCUGCGCAUUCCACCGCUACACCAGGAAUUCUGUCUUCCCCAACCGUAUUCCAGAUCUACAGUAUCUAACGCCUUACGACGGGUAAGCCGUCGCCUUUAACAUUAAACUUAUAGAUCCGCCUACCUGCCCUUUACGCCUAGUAAUUCCGGACAACGCUUGCAACCCCCGUGUUACCGCGGCUGCUGGCACGGAGUUAGCCGUUGCUUAUUCAUAUGCUAAUAUCGCUCCAAACAGACUAUUCACCUAUCUGGCAUUGCUCACAUAUAAAAGAACUUUACACCCCGAAGGGCUUCUUCGUUCACGCGGCGUCGCACUAUCAGUCUUUCGACCAUUGUAGACUAUUCUCGACUGCAGCCCCCCGUAGG
RNAcentral lists this ribosomal RNA (467 nucleotides) under uncultured bacterium. RNAcentral describes it as "partial 16S ribosomal RNA". The record is from RNAcentral.